RNAcentral lists this ribosomal RNA (468 nucleotides) under uncultured bacterium. Its description in RNAcentral is "partial 16S ribosomal RNA". It matches the Rfam family "Bacterial small subunit ribosomal RNA", at positions 28 to 507 of the family's 1533-position model. The record is from RNAcentral.
GACGAACGCUGGCGGCGUGCUUAACACAUGCAAGUCGAACGGAAAGGCCCUGCUUUUGUGGGGUGCUCGAGUGGCGAACGGGUGAGUAACACGUGAGUAACCUGCCCUUGACUUUGGGAUAACUUCAGGAAACUGGGGCUAAUACCGGAUAGGAGCUCCUGCUGCAUGGUGGGGGUUGGAAAGUUUCGGCGGUUGGGGAUGGACUCGCGGCUUAUCAGCUUGUUGGUGGGGUAGUGGCUUACCACGGCUUUGACGGGUAGCCGGCCUGAGAGGGUGACCGGCCACAUUGGGACUGAGGUACGGCCCAGACUCCUACGGGGGGCAGCAGUGGGGAAUAUUGCACAAUGGGCGGAAGCCUGAUGCAGCAACGCCGCGUGCGGGAUGACGGCCUUCGGGUUGUAAACCGCUUUCGCCUGUGACGAAGCGUGAGUGACGGUAAUGGGUAAAGAAGCACCGGCUAACUACGUG